AGCUUUGCUCGGAGGCGCUAUUGUAACCAAUGACGUUCUACCGAGGUGCGAUUGUUGCUAGUUAAAAAAAAAAUUAAAUAUAAAAAUUAUAAUUUUUAAGUGAUCUGCUUUGUGGCACUUAUGCAUAGAU
This is a small nuclear RNA of Anastrepha obliqua, 130 nucleotides long. RefSeq annotates it as U4 spliceosomal RNA. Lineage: Eukaryota; Metazoa; Arthropoda; Insecta; Diptera; Tephritidae. The transcript has a single exon. The record is from RefSeq and is a predicted model, not a curated record.